This is a long non-coding RNA of Hydra vulgaris (swiftwater hydra), 462 nucleotides long. RefSeq lists it as uncharacterized. The record is from RefSeq and is a predicted model, not a curated record. Lineage: Eukaryota; Metazoa; Cnidaria; Hydrozoa; Anthoathecata; Hydridae.
UUGCCAAUUAAAACUGAUUUAAUACGAAGACGGCAUAAGAUAAUCGAACCAGGUAAUAAAACAAUUCACUCUAUGGACCCUAUGGGAGAACAGACAAAUUCCAUCAAAAAAGAAGAAGUGAAAUGGAAUUGUUACUUACAACAAAGAUAUGGUGUUUCAGAAAAGUUUGAAAUAUUAACAUUACCACAUGCCAUACGAGCUGAAGUUUGCUGAAAGUUAUACAAAUGGAGAAGUAUUGGUGCGUGUCUUUCCACAUGAAGAAGUUAAUGCAUACAGAAAGAGAGAUAAAGGAGGUCAGAAGAGUUAGCAGAAUAGUUUGUGUCGCAUUUGUGGAAGUGAAAUUGGUCCAAAAACUAGAAAAAAUCAAAAAAAAAUUAAAUGAGUAAAAUGUGAUAUAUGCAUUUAAAUCGAUGGUACGGUAUGAGAUGCAUUGUUUUUAGAAAUGAAACUUUAUUUUGUUGU